RNAcentral lists this long non-coding RNA (2723 nucleotides) under Carassius auratus (goldfish). RNAcentral's name for it is "lncRNA (ENSCARG00000013745.1)". The record is from RNAcentral. Lineage: Eukaryota; Metazoa; Chordata; Actinopteri; Cypriniformes; Cyprinidae.
AUGGAAACCAAUGGGAGUCAGUUUUUACACAAACACCACCGUAGUCACCAAAUUGUGUUCAGGCUUUCUAAAACACAUCUGUGUCUUGAAUCUCUGCGCGCAUGUUCAAGACCCCAAAAGAGAAACAUCCACCAAAUCUGAAGAAGAAAUGAAUAGUGAAACCAGAGUUUCAAGCUGUGUAAAAAUCUAAUCUGGGUCAACAAACGAUAAAACAAUUAAUAAUGUAUUUAAGUUUUACAAUGAAAUAAACAUUUAUUUUUAAAAUAACUGUCAUCUUAUAAAGCACAGAUUCACUUCUGUAAUAUCAUAAUGUUGUAUAUUUUCAUAAACUCUGGUAAAAAUGUCUAAAGUACUUUUUUUUUUUCUAUGUUCGUUUCUUUCCGAGCCAAACCUUGAUGGAGGCCGGUCUCCCGCGGCAUGCUGGGAGUUUUCAGCUCGAUCUGAGAGUGUGACGAGGCAUGGCACGCUAGAGACACACCGGGACUGUCAUCGACGGGAGCCCAGAGUUUGACAAACUGUUUCCCUCUUUUCCAGAAGAGCCCGUCCCGUUCAAGAGCUCCGGCCAUCUGAAUGGAGGCUUGUGUUCGUCCCGGACCCACACCUCUCUCUCUCAGGAAACUUCACACGUGUCUAAAUUACAGGAGGAAACACAAACACUGAGGGAUUGUGUGUGUCUCACAGCUGGAUUCAGGAAUGUUUCCUACGACACACGGUCAUCUCACGUCUGCAGACACACAGAUGCCACGGCCGGCCGCUCGAGCCAAAACCAUGAACACAGGAAAGACUGGAGAACCAGCUCGGAUUAAACCAGAGCCGCUCGUCUGCAGUCAAAUGUGUCCUGGCCAUGGUUUGAUGAGAUUCACCAGCUGUGUGCAUGCAGAUGUUUCUGGAUGAGAAUAGAUGUUUGGGCAGAAUCUGGAGCGGCCAACGUCCCACCAGACAAGCUGAACACAAAUAAACUGAGCUGCUGCUUUUGCUGAGGAGCGAAAGACAGAUGGAUAGAAGGAAAACAGAGAGAAGGAGAGAACGACGGGGCUGGUUUGGGGGUUGAAGGGUCAGACAGCAGCUUUAUGGGCCGUGCAUGACGCUUCACCAGACCGAACUAUUCAAAGCAGCUCAGAGGAACUGUUCCACAGACGGAGAUCAGACUCCACCGGAGCUUCUGUGAUGCUCUGACAAACUCAACUGAUGUCGGAUCACACUGACUGAAUAACUAAACACUGCUAGGGGAAAUAAAUGUGUGUUCGAUAUUUAAAGAUUUGUUUCAAAAACAUUAAUGCACAUUUGCCAAAUGCUGACAAUGUAUAAUGCCUUUUAUUAGACAGGGCAAUUAAAAAGAGGAGAAUUACGAAUUAAUGAAGAAUUAAGAGGGAAUGUUUUGUUCCUUAAUGAAUCAGAACAUUUGAACGAAUCGUUUGAGUGAAUGAUUCAAUGUCUCACUGAUGAAAACGGUCACUUGUUUUGUUCCUUAAUGAAUCAGAAGGUUUGAACGAAUCGGUUGAGUGAACGAUUCAAUGUCUCCGUGAUGAAAACAGUCACUUGUUUUGUUCCUUAAUGAAUCAGAAGGUUUGAACGAAUCGGUUGAGUGAACGAUUCAAUGUCUCCGUGAUGAAAACAGUCACUUGUUUUGUUCCUUAAUGAAUCAGAACGUUUGAACGAAUCGGUUGAGUGAACGAUUCAAUGUCUCCGUGAUGAAAACAGUCACUUGUUUUGUUCCUUAAUGAAUCAGAAGGUUUGAACGAAUCGGUUGAGUGAACGAUUCAAUGUCUCACUGAUGAAAACAGUCACUUGUUUUGUUCCUUAAUGAAUCAGAACGUUUGAACGAAUCAGUUGAGUGAACGAUUCAAUGUCUCCGUGAUGAAAACAGCCACUUGUUUUAUUCCUUAAUGAAUCAGAACGUUUGAACGAAUCAGUUGAGUGAACGAUUCAAUGUCUCCGUGAUGAAAACAGCCACUUGUUUUAUUCCUUAAUGAAUCAGAACGUUUGAACGAAUCGGUUGAGUGAACGAUUCAAUGUCUCCGUGAUGAAAACAGUCACUUGUUUUGUUCCUUAAUGAAUCAGAAGGUUUGAACGAAUCAUUUGAGUGAACGAUUCAAUGUCUCACUUAUGAAAACAGCCACUUGUUUUGUUCCUUAAUGAAUCAGAACGUUUGAACGAAUCAGUUGAGUGAACGAUUCAAUGUCUCCGUGAUGAAAACAGCCACUUGUUUUAUUCCUUAAUGAAUCAGAACGUUUGAACGAAUCAGUUGAGUGAACGAUUCAAUGUCUCCGUGAUGAAAACAGCCACUUGUUUUAUUCCUUAAUGAAUCAGAACGUUUGAACGAAUCAGUUGAGUGAACGAUUCAAUGUCUCCGUGAUGAAAACAGCCACUUGUUUUAUUCCUUAAUGAAUCAGAACGUUUGAACGAAUCAGUUGAGUGAACGAUUCAAUGUCUCCGUGAUGAAAACAGCCACUUGUUUUAUUCCUUAAUGAAUCAGAACGUUUGAACGAAUCGGUUGAGUGAACGAUUCAAUGUCUCCGUGAUGAAAACAGUCACUUGUUUUGUUCCUUAAUGAAUCAGAAGGUUUGAACGAAUCAUUUGAGUGAACGAUUCAAUGUCUCACUUAUGAAAACAGCCACUUGUUUUGUUCCUUAAUGAAUCAGAACAUUUGAGCGAAUCACAUAAGAAUGUCGAUGACAUUUUCAUGACAUAUCCGAAUGGAUGUUUCAAUACAAUUUUUUUUU